AUCACUUCUCGGCCUUUUGGCUAAGAUCAAGUGUAGAAAUGUAGGGGGAGAGAAGGGGAAUGUGCUGGAAGAUAGUCUCUCCCCAGUUUUUUUUUUUUAAUUUUUUUAAUUUCCCCAAUACAUUAU
Molecule: small nuclear RNA, 126 nt
Filed under: Sus scrofa (pig)
Lineage: Eukaryota; Metazoa; Chordata; Mammalia; Artiodactyla; Suidae
Description: U2 spliceosomal RNA (ENSSSCG00045020292.1, ENSSSCG00110033797.1, ENSSSCG00190027699.1)
Rfam family: U2 spliceosomal RNA
About the family: U2 is a small nuclear RNA (snRNA) component of the spliceosome (involved in pre-mRNA splicing). Complementary binding between U2 snRNA (in an area lying towards the 5' end but 3' to hairpin I) and the branchpoint sequence (BPS) of the intron results the bulging out of an unpaired adenosine, on the BPS, which initiates a nucleophilic attack at the intronic 5' splice site, thus starting the first of two transesterification reactions that mediate splicing.
Source: RNAcentral